RNAcentral lists this ribosomal RNA (119 nucleotides) under Salarias fasciatus (jewelled blenny). The record is from RNAcentral. Lineage: Eukaryota; Metazoa; Chordata; Actinopteri; Blenniiformes; Blenniidae.
GUUUACAGCCACACCAGCUGAAAAUGGCCCGAUCUCGUCUGAUCUCGGAAGCUAAGAAGGCUCGGGCCUGGUUAGUACUGGGAUGGGAGACUGCCUUGGAAUACCAGGUGCUGUAAGCC